GCCACUUUACGAACCGGUUAUGACGUUCUUAUAUCUAUUCGACAGAUAAUUAUGUUAAUAUUAUAAUCCAAAUAAUACACCGUGAUAUUUUAUCUUACAUUUAUGUUGUGUACAAGACAAAUAUGUUAUAAUUUUAUCAUCGAUUUUGUUAUAUUAUUUUAUGAUUAUGCCAUGUUUACUUAACCUAUUUGUUAUGUCACCAAGUUUGUUACGCAUGUUUUAUCUCCAAAUUAUGAGUUUAUUAUGUUAC
This 250-nucleotide long non-coding RNA is filed under the name Linum usitatissimum (flax). RNAcentral describes it as "long non-coding RNA (LUSI_LNC004123)". The record is from RNAcentral. Lineage: Eukaryota; Viridiplantae; Streptophyta; Magnoliopsida; Malpighiales; Linaceae.